RNAcentral lists this ribosomal RNA (429 nucleotides) under Gemmatimonadota bacterium. Its description in RNAcentral is "Gemmatimonadetes bacterium partial 16S ribosomal RNA". It matches the Rfam family "Bacterial small subunit ribosomal RNA", at positions 355 to 776 of the family's 1533-position model. The record is from RNAcentral. Lineage: Bacteria; Pseudomonadati; Gemmatimonadota.
UAGGGAAUCUUCGGCAAUGGACGAAAGUCUGACCGAGCAACGCCGCGUGAGGGAAGAAGGUUUUCGGAUCGUAAAACUCUGUUGUUAGAGAAGAACAAGGACGUUAGUAACUGAACGUCCCCUGACGGUAUCUAACCAGAAAGCCACGGCUAACUACGUGCCAGCAGCCGCGGUAAUACGUAGGUGGCAAGCGUUGUCCGGAUUUAUUGGGCGUAAAGCGAGCGCAGGCGGUUUCUUAAGUCUGAUGUGAAAGCCCCCGGCUCAACCGGGGAGGGUCAUUGGAAACUGGGGGACUUGAGUGCAGAAGAGGGGAGUGGAAUUCCAUGUGUAGCGGUGAAAUGCGUAGAUAUAUGGAGGAACACCAGUGGCGAAGGCGGCUCUCUGGUCUGUAACUGACGCUGAGGCUCGAAAGCGUGGGGAGCAAACAGG